UAGGAGCUUAGGCUCCCA
RNAcentral lists this small nuclear RNA (18 nucleotides) under Arabidopsis thaliana (thale cress). RNAcentral describes it as "snRNA_10390". The record is from RNAcentral. Lineage: Eukaryota; Viridiplantae; Streptophyta; Magnoliopsida; Brassicales; Brassicaceae.